RNAcentral lists this ribosomal RNA (171 nucleotides) under Encrasicholina heteroloba (shorthead anchovy). RNAcentral describes it as "partial 12S rRNA". Lineage: Eukaryota; Metazoa; Chordata; Actinopteri; Clupeiformes; Engraulidae. The record is from RNAcentral.
CACCGCGGUUAUACGAGAGACCCUAGUUGAUUUAAACGGCGUAAAGAGUGGUUAUGGAAAUUUUUUAUAAAGUGGAAAACCCCUUAAACUGUUAUACGCACCCGGGGGUCAGAACCCCUCGCACGAAAGUAACUUUAUUAACGUCAACCAGAACCCACGAAAGCCAGGAUA